CCCUGGCUCAGGACGAACGCUGGCGGCGUGCCUAAUACAUGCAAGUCGAGCGAAUCUUUGGGAGCUUGCUCCUAAAGAUUAGCGGCGGACGGGUGAGUAACACGUGGGCAACCUGCCUAUAAGACUGGGAUAACUUCGGGAAACCGGAGCUAAUACCGGAUAAUCCUUUUCCUCACAUGAGGGGAAGCUGAAAGACGGUUUCGGCUGUCACUUAUAGAUGGGCCCGCGGCGCAUUAGCUAGUUGGUGAGGUAAUGGCUCACCAAGGCGACGAUGCGUAGCCGACCUGAGAGGGUGAUCGGCCACACUGGGACUGAGACACGGCCCAGACUCCUACGGGAGGCAGCAGUAGGGAAUCUUCCGCAAUGGACGAAAGUCUGACGGAGCAACGCCGCGUGAACGAUGAAGGCUUUCGGGUCGUAAAGUUCUGUUGUUAGGGAAGAACAAGUAUCGGAGUAACUGCCGGUACCUUGACGGUACCUAACCAGAAAGCCACGGCUAAC
This 501-nucleotide ribosomal RNA is filed under the name Bacillaceae bacterium CL1.38. RNAcentral's name for it is "bacterial SSU rRNA". It matches the Rfam family "Bacterial small subunit ribosomal RNA", at positions 17 to 501 of the family's 1533-position model. The record is from RNAcentral. Lineage: Bacteria; Bacillati; Bacillota; Bacilli; Caryophanales; Bacillaceae.